AUGAUUGCCUUAGUAACGGCGAGUGAAGAGGCAAAAGCUCAAGUUUGGAAGCUCAAUGGUUUAACCAUUGCGCAUUGUAAACUGAAAACAGGAUCAAUCAGGUACACCGGGUGAUAAGUUCCUUGGAAUAGGACAUCAUGGAGGGUGAGAAUCCCGUCUUUGACCCGAGUCUUAGUAUCUUUUGUAUUGGCCUGUUCAAGAGUCAGGUUGUUUGGGAAUGCAGCCUAAAGCUGGAGGUAAAUCCCUCCUGAAGCUAAAUAAUGGCGAGAGACCGAUAGCGAACAAGUACCGUGAGGGAAAGAUGAAAAGAACUCUGAAGAGAGAGUUAAACAGUACGUGAAAUUGCUUAAAGGGAAGCAUAUAAAGCUAGGAUGCGAUUGUUUUCUUCAGGUUGAGCUUUGGCUUGACUGUUCAGAAGGAUAAUCCAAGACAACAAGAAUUGGAGGAGGAGAAUAAGCCAUUGGGGAAGGUAAUCCUUCGGGAUGUUUAUAGACCUGAUGGUUCGCGCUCUUCUUUCGAUUGAGGUACGCUUUUUUUUUUAAAGGUUGUUGUCUGAAUGGCUUUAUAUGGC
This 571-nucleotide ribosomal RNA is filed under the name Syncephalastrum racemosum. RNAcentral describes it as "eukaryotic LSU rRNA". It matches the Rfam family "Eukaryotic large subunit ribosomal RNA", at positions 71 to 648 of the family's 3401-position model. The record is from RNAcentral. Lineage: Eukaryota; Fungi; Mucoromycota; Mucoromycetes; Mucorales; Syncephalastraceae.